Molecule: ribosomal RNA, 395 nt
Filed under: uncultured bacterium
Lineage: Bacteria
Description: partial 16S ribosomal RNA
Rfam family: Bacterial small subunit ribosomal RNA
Source: RNAcentral
AUACGUAGGGUGCAAGCGUUAAUCGGAAUUACUGGGCGUAAAGCGUGCGCAGGCGGUUUUGUAAGGCAGUGGUGAAAUUCCCGGGCUCAACCUGGGAACUGCCAUUGUGACUGCAAGGCUGGAGGGCGGCAGAGGGGGAUGGCAUUCCGCGUGUAGCAGUGAAAUGCGUAGAUAUGCGGAGGAACACCGAUGGCGAAGGCAAUCCCCUGGGCCUGCACUGACGCUCAUGCACGAAAGCGUGGGGAGCAAACAGGAUUAGAUACCCUGGUAGUCCACGCCCUAAACGAUGUCAACUGGUUGUUGGGGAUUUAUUUUCUCAGUAACGAAGCUAACGCGUGAAGUUGACCGCCUGGGGAGUACGGCCGCAAGGUUAAAACUCAAAGGAAUUGACGGGG